UUCCGUAGGUGAACCUGCGGAGGGAUCAUUACACAAAUAUGAAGGCGGGCUGGAACCUCUCGGGGUUACAGCCUUGCUGAAUUAUUCACCCUUGUCUUUUGCGUACUUCUUGUUUCCUUGGUGGGUUCGCCCACCACUAGGACAAACAUAAACCUUUUGUAAUUGCAAUCAGCGUCAGUAACAAAUUAAUAAUUACAACUUUCAACAACGGAUCUCUUGGUUCUGGCAUCGAUGAAGAACGCAGCGAAAUGCGAUAAGUAGUGUGAAUUGCAGAAUUCAGUGAAUCAUCGAAUCUUUGAACGCACAUUGCGCCCUUUGGUAUUCCAAAGGGCAUGCCUGUUCGAGCGUCAUUUGUACCCUCAAGCUUUGCUUGGUGGUGGGCGUCUUGUCUCUAGCUUUGCUGGAGACUCGCCUUAAAGUAAUUGGCAGCCGGCCUACUGGUUUCGGAGCGCAGCACAAGUCGCACUCUCUAUCAGCAAAGGUCUAGCAUCCAUUAAGCCUUUUUUUUCAACUUUUGACCUCGGAUCAGGUAGGG
RNAcentral lists this ribosomal RNA (535 nucleotides) under uncultured organism. RNAcentral describes it as "eukaryotic LSU rRNA". The stretch from base 197 to 350 matches the Rfam family "5.8S ribosomal RNA". The record is from RNAcentral.